CAGUAGCCGCGGGAAUACGGAGGGUGCAAGCGUUAAUCGGAAUUACUGGGCGUAAAGCGCACGCAGGCGGUUUGUUAAGUCAGAUGUGAAAUCCCCGAGCUUAACUUGGGAACUGCAUUUGAAACUGGCAAGCUAGAGUCUUGUAGAGGGGGGUAGAGUUCCAGGUGUAGCGGUGAAAUGCGUAGAGAUCUGGAGGAAUACCGGUGGCGAAGGCGGCCCCCUGGACAAAGACUGACGCUCAGGUGCGAAAGCGUGGGGAGCAAACAGGAUUAGAUACCCGCGUAGUCCCUGUCUCUUAUAC
RNAcentral lists this ribosomal RNA (301 nucleotides) under uncultured bacterium. RNAcentral's name for it is "partial 16S ribosomal RNA". It matches the Rfam family "Bacterial small subunit ribosomal RNA", at positions 509 to 807 of the family's 1533-position model. The record is from RNAcentral.